This is an RNA transcript of Oncorhynchus gorbuscha (pink salmon), 2728 nucleotides long. It is a transcript of the gene named basic leucine zipper transcriptional factor ATF-like, with no coding region annotated. The transcript is spliced from 4 exons. The record is from RefSeq and is a predicted model, not a curated record. Lineage: Eukaryota; Metazoa; Chordata; Actinopteri; Salmoniformes; Salmonidae.
GAGAGAGAGGUAUAUAUAAAGAGAGGUAGAGAGAGAGUGUGAGAAUAGAGAGAGUGAGAGAGAGAAGUUAUUUCUCAUUAAGCGACCAACCAGGUUCAGCUUAGCACACUGUCUGAACACACACACACAGAGCGACAGCUUAGCACACUCUGUCUGAACACACACACAGAGCGACAGCUUAGCACACUCUGUCUGAACACACACACAGCGACACACACACAAAUAAAAAGCAGAAGUGGUGAGAGGCACAGGGUUUGGAGCAACGUGGUUGGCUAUGGCUCACGGCUCUGACAGCGAUGACUCCAAUUACACCAAGUCUCCUUCGCCAGCGGGCAGCAGGCGGGGCUCCUCAGACAACAUAAAGAAAGUAAUGAGAAGAGAGAAGAACCGUAUCGCUGCCCAGAAGAGCAGGAUGAGACAGACCCAGAAGGCAGACAGUCUACACCUGGAGAGUGAGAACCUGGAGAAGGAGAACGCGGCUCUGAGGAAGGAGGUGAAGAAACUCAAAGAAGAAGCCAACUAUCUCUCCUCUGUCCUGACUACCCAUGAGCCUCUCUGCACUGGCCUGCCCCCCCAGAUGACCCCGGACCUCAUCUACUCCCCCCAUCAUCACUCCGUCUCCCCCCACCAUCACGGGAGCAAUGUCUUCCACCACCAGCACAGCAUGGCUGUGUCGCACUUCCAGCACUGAUCACCACCGACCACCAGGUGGUGCUGAAGAGAAGCGGGAGAGGUUUACUGACUCAGUCUGGUUUCAAGAGGCUACACUUGAGCAGGAUGAAGUUAAUGAAUGGUUUCUUUGUUUCAACGGGAACAGACAGCACUCAUGAAUGAUGUCUUUGCAUCAGAUCAACAAUUUUCUGAUAUUAAAAGAUUUACAAAGGCUUCUUUUACACAGGCAGCCAAAUUCUGAUCUUUUGCCCAAUUAUUGUAAAAAUGUCUGAUUGGUCAAAAAAAUAAUUAAUGACAAAAGAUCAGAAUUGUGUAAAGGCACAUAGAUGGUAAUUUCCAAUGUAUGACUCGACCAUAGAAUCAAUACCAUGACUAUGUAGUCAACAUCUACAGGACAUAAAACCAGCAUGAUUGAAUUAUUUUUUUAUUGUACUAUUGACAUUUAUACAACAAUGAAAUGAUUCCGUGUUUACGUUUCAAGUCAUUUAUAUAUAUGCUUAUUACAAUGCUUUGCCUCUAGGACUGGGACGAUACUAGUAUCACGAUACCUGUUAGUAUUGUGGCAAGGGAACAAAACACAAAGCAGAUUUAACUUCUUUAGUAAAACAGUCUUAAUGUUGGAAACGAACAUCACUAUGUUAUCAUCCAGAGUCACAUGUCGUUAUUUUCCAGGCUAUAUCACAACAUGUGUUCCAUAAAGCAGGUUUAGUACCAGGCUAUAUCACAACAUGUUUAGUACCAGGCUAUAUCACAACAUGUGUUCCAUAAAGCAGGUUUAGGACCAGGCUAUAUCACAACAUGUGUUCCAUAAAGCAGGUUUAGGACCAGGCUAUAUCACAACAUGUGUUCCAUACAGCAGGUUUAGUACCAGGCUAUAUCACAACAUGUGUUCCAUACAGCAGGUUUAGUACCAGGCUAUAUCACAACAUGUUUAGUACCAGGCUAUAUCACAACAUGUGUUCCAUAAAGCAGGUUUAGGACCAGGCUAUAUCACAACAUGUGUUCCAUAAAGCAGGUUUAGGACCAGGCUAUAUCACAACAUGUGUUCCAUAAAGCAGGUUUAGGACCAGGCUAUAUCACAACAUGUGUUCCAUAAAGCAGGUUUAGGACCAGGCUAUAUCACAACAUGUGUUCCAUAAAGCAGGUUUAGGACCAGGCUAUAUCACAACAUGUGUUCCAUAAAGCAGGUUUAGGACCAGGCUAUAUCACAACAUGUGUUCCAUACAGCAGAUUUUCAAAGGACCAAAGAAUCUGAUCUGGUUCGUGUUUUCCUUUUUUGCCAUAGAAGUAAAUAUCCCAAUACUGGUAUCAUCCCAGCCUUUAGUUUUAUUAGUGUACAUUUCUCGUGUUCACGACUACCACUAUUGCAUAUGACUGAUUGGAGCAUUGACAAAUAGCUUGGAUUACUCAAUGAUGUGUACAUUAUUUAACUAUUUUCUCACAAAACAGCUGCUUUUCUAGUCCGAUUUGAAUACAUGUACAUUCUGCCUAAAGUGAAACAGUUUGAAAAUAACUUUGUUAACUCAAGAGUCUACGUUCGAAUUAUCUUGAAUUCGUUUAAAAAAAAAUACUAUUUUUUUAAUGGUCACAAGGUGGAGUCGUGUACCUAUAUGUAAUUAAGGGUAAGCCUUGUUAAGGGACCGUAUGCAUUGUAUGCUCUGAUAUAAGUGAUUAUCUUAUAGACUGGUACUGAGACAGGACAUAAUAAAGGUGAAAUAAAUAAAUAAAUAAAAUAAAUACAGGUUUAGUUUACCAUCAGUGCUUGUACUUUUUAAAUGAAUAUCUUUGAAUGUUGUAUUGAUUUUUUUAUAUUUUUUAAAUGCUGUCUUACUGUACAUUUAAAAAUAAAGAUAGAAACUUAGAAAUUGUUUUGAAAUGCAAGAUAGUGAAUUUUUGGGUGGAAGCAAUGUUUUUUCCGACCCUGAGCAAACAUCAGGUCUGGUUGAGGACAAACAUGAACAUUGUGAACCUUCUGUGCAACUUCCAGCGUGCCUUUACUGUGAACACUGAGGCUGUGCCUGCUUUAAGUUACAGUUUUAACAGUUGCCAAGUAGGC